GCCGGAGUGGCGGAAUUGGCAGACGCACAGGACUUAAAAUCCUGCGAUCUUCAUCGAUCGUACCGGUUCGACCCCGGUCUUCGGCACCA
RNAcentral lists this transfer RNA (89 nucleotides) under Peptostreptococcaceae bacterium. Its description in RNAcentral is "tRNA-Leu". It matches the Rfam family "tRNA". From Rfam's summary of the family: Transfer RNA (tRNA) molecules are approximately 80 nucleotides in length. The record is from RNAcentral. Lineage: Bacteria; Bacillati; Bacillota; Clostridia; Peptostreptococcales; Peptostreptococcaceae.